This 594-nucleotide ribosomal RNA is filed under the name uncultured Alphaproteobacteria bacterium. RNAcentral describes it as "bacterial SSU rRNA". It matches the Rfam family "Bacterial small subunit ribosomal RNA", at positions 329 to 915 of the family's 1533-position model. The record is from RNAcentral. Lineage: Bacteria; Pseudomonadati; Pseudomonadota; Alphaproteobacteria.
AGAGUCACUCCUACGGGAGGCAGCAGUGGGGAAUCUUCCGCAAUGGGCGAAAGCCUGACGGAGCGACGCCGCGUGGGGGACGAAGGCCUUCGGGUCGUAAAGCUCUGUGGGGAGGGACGAACCGCCGGCGGUGCAUAGCCGACGGCAUGACGGUACCUCCUUAGCAAGCACCGGCUAACUUCGUGCCAGCAGCCGCGGUAAUACGAAGGGUGCAAACGUUGCUCGGAAUUACUGGGCGUAAAGCGCACGCAGGUGGCUGAGUCAGUCGAUUGUGAAAGCCCUGGGCUUAACCUGGGAAUUGCAGUCGAUACUACUCAGCUAGAGUAUGGGAGAGGGCAGUGGAAUUCCCGGUGUAGCGGUGAAAUGCGUAGAUAUCAGGAGGAACACCGGUGGCGAAGGCGGCUACCUGGACAGAAACUGACGCUGAGGCGCGAAAGCUAGGGGAGCAAACAGGAUUAGAUACCCUGGUAGUCCUAGCCCUAAACGAUGGAUACUUGGUGUGACUGGGAUUGAAUCCAGUCGUGCCGAAGCUAACGCAUUAAGUAUCCCGCCUGGGGAGUACGGUCGCAAGGCUGAAACUUAAAGGAAUUGACG